RNAcentral lists this ribosomal RNA (447 nucleotides) under uncultured bacterium. RNAcentral's name for it is "bacterial SSU rRNA". It matches the Rfam family "Bacterial small subunit ribosomal RNA", at positions 330 to 794 of the family's 1533-position model. The record is from RNAcentral.
UCCAGACUCCUACGGGAGGCAGCAGUGGGGAAUAUUGCACAAUGGGGGAAACCCUGAUGCAGCAACGCCGCGUGAGUGAAGAAGUAUUUCGGCAUGUAAAGCUCUAUCAGCAGGGAAGAGAAUGACGGUACCUGACUAAGAAGCCCCGGCUAACUACGUGCCAGCAGCCGCGGUAAUACGUAGGGGGCGAGCGUUAUCCGGAUUUACUGGGUGUAAAGGGAGCGCAGACGGCAGUGCAAGUCUGGAGUGAAAGCCCGUGGCUUAACCACGGGACUGCUCUGGAAACUGUGCAGCUAGAGUGCAGGAGAGGCAGGCGGAAUUCCUAGUGUAGCGGUGAAAUGCGUAGAUAUUAGGAGGAACACCGGUGGCGAAGGCGGCCUGCUGGACUGUAACUGACGUUGAGGCUCGAGAGCGUGGGGAGCAAACAGGAUUAGAUACCCGUGUACA